CCUACGGGUGGCUGCAGUGAGGAAUAUUGGUCAAUGGCCGCAAGUCUGAACCAGCCAUGCCGCGUGCAGGACGAAGGUUCUAUGAAUUGUAAACUUCUUUUGUACGGGGACAAAUUCAGCCUCGAGUAUCUGAUUGAGCGUACCGUACGAAUAAGCAUCGGCUAACUCCGUGCCAGCAGCCGCGGUAAUACGGCGGAUUCCAGCGUUAUCCGGAUUUAUUUGGUUUAAAGGGUGCGUAGGCGGGUCUUUAAGUUAGAGGUUAAAUCCCGGGGCUCAACCCCGGCACUGCCGCUGAUACUGGCGGGCUAGAGAUGACUAGAGGUAUGCGGAAUGUGUGGUGUAGCGGUGAAAUGCUUAGAUAUUACGCAGAACACCGAGUGCGAAGGCAGCAUACCAAAGUAGGACUGACGUUGAGGCACGAAAGCGUGGGGAGCGAACAGGAUUAGAUACCCGAGUAGUC
This 460-nucleotide ribosomal RNA is filed under the name uncultured bacterium. Its description in RNAcentral is "partial 16S ribosomal RNA". It matches the Rfam family "Bacterial small subunit ribosomal RNA", at positions 338 to 795 of the family's 1533-position model. The record is from RNAcentral.